AAGCAACACUCUGUGGCAGAUGAGCAAAACUGUCUGACACAAUUUGCGCUUGCUAUAGUAAGAAAGUCUAACCUAUUCCGGUGUUUUCUUCCUCAGUGGGACAAGCCGUUAUAUAGACUUAAACAUU
Molecule: small nucleolar RNA, 127 nt
Organism: Loxodonta africana (African savanna elephant)
Lineage: Eukaryota; Metazoa; Chordata; Mammalia; Proboscidea; Elephantidae
Gene: SNORA28
Product: small nucleolar RNA SNORA28
Source: Ensembl